RNAcentral lists this ribosomal RNA (253 nucleotides) under uncultured bacterium. Its description in RNAcentral is "partial 16S ribosomal RNA". It matches the Rfam family "Bacterial small subunit ribosomal RNA", at positions 524 to 776 of the family's 1533-position model. The record is from RNAcentral.
GACGUAGGGCGCGAGCGUUGUCCGGAUUUAUUGGGCGUAAAGAGCUCGUAGGCGGCUUGUCGCGUCGUUCGUGAAAACCCACGGCUCAACUGUGGGCUUGCGGUCGAUACGGGCAGGCUGGAGUUCGGUAGGGGAGACUGGAAUUCCUGGUGUAGCGGUGAAAUGCGCAGAUAUCAGGAGGAACACCGGUGGCGAAGGCGGUCUGCUGGGCAGUUGCUGACACUGAGGCACGAAAGCUAGGGGAGCAAACAGG